Molecule: long non-coding RNA, 944 nt
Filed under: Gallus gallus (chicken)
Lineage: Eukaryota; Metazoa; Chordata; Aves; Galliformes; Phasianidae
Description: lncRNA (ENSGALG00010018878.1)
Source: RNAcentral
GUUGGCCCAGGAAGUACAGGUGCAAGCAAUUCACCUGUGCUUCCCACGUAACUCCCUGGGCUCAUUUAAGGGCUAGCCUCUGAAAGGAGAGUGUUUCCUGAAUGAAGGCUGCUGCUUGAGAAGGUGUGUUCUGUAACCUGAGACCCUAUCGCCAGUUGGAUACUCUAAUAUCCCCAAAAGCCAUGCUGACUUCUACAGCGUUCUAUGUGACUCCACCAUCAGUUGUGUUGGGCUGAAUGUUGCUGUGCAGCAGGACGUAGCUACUAUGUUGUCACUGCUCGCAGGUUUAAUGUCCUCUACAAUAAGGAAAGGUGAAAACACCAUCUGGUAAAUGAAUGUGAAUCUUCUUUUGCUGCUGUAUAAACAAUAUUGCUGCACAAAUUAUGGAGAAGAGGCAAAUAUAACCUUAGCUGGUGAAAACAUGAAUUAUUGCAAUAGUCUGCUGCGAUGAGGAACCCUCAUCUCUAUGCCAUGAAAUUAGUGAACGAUAUUCAUAAAACUGUCUGGACAACAGGAGUUCUGCAAAAAAAAAAAAAAAAAACAACCUCCUAAAACAUUCAUAACUUACCUCAGCAGCUUUCAUCUGAUACAGACCAUAUGUAUGUCUUUAUUUUGCUAUACACUUCACCUGACUUCUCUUGGCUUCAGUAAGUGAUUAACCAGUCAGGCCUCCGUCAUGUUGAAAACACAACUGCCCUUCAGAAACAGAUUCUCAGCAAGUUCUCUAAUGAGGCAGAUGCCUGCUGGUUUUCCAAGGACUGUUACUGAGUCUGAGCACACUGAAAUACAGUAGUUGGUCUAAGGCAUGACUGAUGAUUUUUCCAGUUUUGUAAAUGGAAGAACAUAGUUUACCUUACUGAGAUUCCUGAGAACAGUUCCUUCUCUCCACCUGUAGCAUGACCAGCUGCAGAAAACCAUCAACACGUCAUUUUAUAGGAAUAGCC